This is a non-coding RNA of Hordeum vulgare subsp. vulgare (domesticated barley), 125 nucleotides long. The record is from Rfam. NCBI's taxonomy places the organism in Eukaryota, Viridiplantae, Streptophyta, Magnoliopsida, Poales, Poaceae.
GUAAUACUCCCUCCGUCCGGAAAUACUUGUCACAGGAAUGGAUGUAUCUAGAUGUAUUUUAGUUCUAGAUACAUCCAGUUUUAUACAUUUGCGCGACAAGUAAUUCCGGACGGAGGGAGUAGUAA